CUUAUCAAGAGUGGUUGAGGGACAGGCCCUAUGAAACCCGGCAACCUGCGCGGUGCGCAAGGUGCCAAUUCCUGCGGCAUUUGCCGAAAGAUGAG
This 95-nucleotide non-coding RNA is filed under the name human gut metagenome. RNAcentral describes it as "SAM riboswitch (S box leader)". It matches the Rfam family "SAM riboswitch aptamer (S box leader)". Rfam says of the family: The SAM riboswitch is found upstream of a number of genes which code for proteins involved in methionine or cysteine biosynthesis in Gram-positive bacteria. The SAM riboswitch acts at the level of transcription termination control. The predicted structure consists of a complex stem-loop region followed by a single stem loop terminator region. The record is from RNAcentral. RNAcentral also lists the same sequence under 3 other names.